This 285-nucleotide ribosomal RNA is filed under the name bacterium. Its description in RNAcentral is "partial 23S ribosomal RNA". It matches the Rfam family "Bacterial large subunit ribosomal RNA", at positions 2644 to 2925 of the family's 2925-position model. The record is from RNAcentral.
GUCGUGGGCGUAGGAUAUUUGAGGAGAUCUGCUCCUAGUACGAGAGGACCGGAGUGGACGAACCUCUAGUGUACCAGUUGUCUCGCCAGAGGCAUAGCUGGGUAGCUAUGUUCGGCAGGGAUAAGCGCUGAAAGCAUCUAAGUGCGAAGCCCACUCCAAGAUAAGAUAUCCCGUAGGUUAUACCUCCUAAAGGCUCCUCGAAGACGACGAGGUCGAUAGGCCGCAGGUGUAAGCGCAGCAAUGUGUUCAGCCGAGCGGUACUAAUCAGCCGUGCGGCUUGAUCAU